UACAGGGGGUGCAAGCGUGGCUCGGAAUUAUUGGGCGUAAAGCGCACGUAGGCGGCUUAGCAAGUCGGAAGUGAAAUCCCUCGGCUCAACCAAGGAAGUGCUUUCGAAACUGCUGAGCUUGAGUACUAAAGAGGAUCGCGGAAUUCCCGGUGUAGAGGUGAAAUUCGUAGAUAUCGGGAGGAACACCAGUGGCGAAGGCGGCGAUCUGGGUAGAUACUGACGCUGAGGUGCGAAAGCGUGGGGAGCAAACAGG
Molecule: ribosomal RNA, 253 nt
Filed under: uncultured bacterium
Lineage: Bacteria
Description: partial 16S ribosomal RNA
Rfam family: Bacterial small subunit ribosomal RNA
Source: RNAcentral